RNAcentral lists this ribosomal RNA (274 nucleotides) under uncultured bacterium. RNAcentral describes it as "partial 16S ribosomal RNA". It matches the Rfam family "Bacterial small subunit ribosomal RNA", at positions 523 to 796 of the family's 1533-position model. The record is from RNAcentral.
AUACGGAGGGUGCAAGCGUUACUCGGAAUCACUGGGCGUAAAGCGCGCGCAGGCGGCUUGAUAAGUUGGAUGUGAAAGCCUACGGCUCAACCGUAGAACUGCAUCCAAAACUGUCAAGCUAGAGUCUGUGAGGGGAAGAUGGAAUUAGUUGUGUAGGGGUAAAAUCCGUAGAGAUAACUAGGAAUACCAAAAGCGAAGGCGAUCUUCUGGAACAGUACUGACGCUGAGGCGCGAAAGCGUGGGGAGCAAACGGAAUUAGAAACCCUAGUAGUCC